GGGUUCUAAGCCAACAGCCUAAAUACUUUAGGUCCAUUAUUUAGGUCCAAGUUCAACCACUAGACCUGUACUUCGCAAGCCUUCAGAGGAUUCCUGCUUUCAGCCAGCAAGCUUUUUCAGCUGAAGCCCCCAGUAUCAUGGAACAGAAUCAGAUUAUUUCCACCGAGUCCUUUUCAAGUUCUUAACCCACAGGAUUUAUGAGCAUUAUGAAGUCAUUAUUGCUUUCUGCCACUAGGCUGAGAGUGACCACAUAUACAGAAAUAGAAAACUAUUAAUAGAAAAAUAUAUUGCAAACAUCUAAUCCUCAAACCCCAUUCAAGUUUUGCCAACUACCCUCCAUCCUAUCAAAUAUUCCUUAUACCAAAAAGAUCCAGUUCAAAAAUAAGUGUUGCAUUUAUUUGUUAACCUCUUUUGAUCUGGAAUAGCUCCUCACACUGUCUUUCAUGACUUUAAUGCUUUGGGAGACUACAGAUGUUUAGGCUCAUCUGAAAUUUUCCUGCCGUCGCCUUGGAAUCAACCAUUUCUUCAGGGAGUCCUAGUUUCUUUUAGAGUAUAGCCACAAAUUUCUACUGAGUAUUUAUCUACUAUAUGGCAGGUCAAGUCUGCAUUCUGGGAUAAAGGGUUGACACAAUCUUGAAUCAGUGCCUAGGGAGUUCACAAGUCCAGAAAGGGGAUAGAGUAUAUAGGAAGCAAGGGACAACAGAAGCCUAGAAUUCCUGGUAAGCCAGAUUUCCAAGGCUCAAGAAAGCCAUCCAAGGAAAAUAGAAUCUCUCGUGUGCAUGCUCCUCAUUGCACUACUGCUGAAGGACCCCAGAAAGCACUCCCCUCUGAGUUAUAUACCCUGGGGAUAAUUGGCAUUGCUGGACUAAAGUUUGGCAGGGCAUCCUGUUCCAGAAGGAAGCAGAGCAGAGUACAGCCUGCUGUGGACAGUUCCUUUUUGUCUCAGGAUGCUUCAUUCGCAGCACAUUCUACAAUUAUUCUGAGAUCUACAAGCAAGAAAGACGAGGGAGAACUGGGUUAGCUAAGAAAUAUAUUUCUGGCAACAGAGGAGAAGAAUGAUAGGAAGAGAAUUGUACUGGAAUAGUAUAAUCCAUUGGAAUGUUGUUGUAAUGAUGGCAACAGUGGAGAAGAAUGAUAGGAAGAGAAUCAUACUGGAAUAGUAUAAUCCAUUGGAAGGUUGUUGUAAUGAAGGCAAGAAGAAAAAUGACCUUGAAGGCAAGAAGAAAAAUCAUAAUGAAGGAAAGGAGAGAUGAGUUUACCAAAUACAAUCUCAGAAUUGUUCUGUAAAUUUCAUUUCUGCUUUAGCAGCCAUAAGGAGCUCCAUUUAUUACAGUAGGAACAGAGGCAACAGUUACAUGGGUAGAUGGCAGGGAUAGAAAAGAUUUUAGUUUUGAUACAUUGAAUUUGACAUGCUUUUUGAAAAUCUUCAGAUGGUGAUGUACAGUAAGUUGUUGAAUCUUUAUUUUCCAAGCAUCUACACAUACACAACACACACAUACACACAAAUACAAGUUCAUUUAAAGCUCAUCACAUUUGUAAUCUUUAAAAAUUUAUAUUUCUUAAGUACUGCUCUGAUCAGACUAGGGCUUAAGUGGGAGAAAUCAAAACUAAAAGGAGAUGAUCUAUUACAGUACUAAACUUUACAUGACAAGUAUUCAUAUUAUGGUGUAAGAUGUAGAAUUUCAUGGCAAGCCAGCACUCUUAAUGCAACUGCUACAAAAGACAAAUAAACAAACUGUAUAACUAUAUAUUUUAAAAAGUUUGAAGAACUAUUAGAUAAAUUUGGGAAAGAUGAACUUAAAAUCUUGCAGCAUUUGCCACUUUUUAGUAUUGGCAGAAGCCAGGUUUUACCCAGGCAAAGAGCCUUUAUGGUUAGAAAAAUACAACAAAACAAUAAUAAUCUGAUCGGUGGGCAGGGCUGGUAUGAAAGAUUGGAACUAUGCAGAACUCCAAAUUCACAGUUGGUUCCCACCAUUAAACAUUUGCUGAUUUCUGGGGACAGAUAGGAAUUCUAAUAGGCAUAGCUGGCAAAGUGAAGGGAAGUCUCCCACAGUCUCAUAUUACUUGAAAAACAAAGUUCCAUUAAAAAGAAGAAGAUGGCUCUCAACAAACUAGUAAUAGGCAAAUGGUGGAUAGGAAGCAAGACUAAAUUGCAACUCCCACUCAGACCGAGAGUAGCUUGUGGAGACUCACACUGUGAACUUUUGCUCCCAGAACUACUGCAGGAACAUACGAGGAAAGAUGAGAGAAUCCACAGACCCUUUGAAGGAAGCAGAUUGCUCCUGCAGGGCCUAGGAGACAGCCCAAACACUGGGUCCUUAGGGAGAGGUGCCAGAGGAGCUGGAAAAAGGCCACAGGGAGAAGGAAGGCUCCAGCUGAACUUGAUGCAAUGAUGUGGAGGCAAAAAACAGAAUAUUAUUGAUUAAAGGAAGAUGAAU
RNAcentral lists this long non-coding RNA (2438 nucleotides) under Pongo abelii (Sumatran orangutan). Its description in RNAcentral is "lincRNA". The record is from RNAcentral. Lineage: Eukaryota; Metazoa; Chordata; Mammalia; Primates; Hominidae.